UUUCCGUAGGUGAACCUGCGGAAGGAUCAUUCAUAAUAAGUGUUUUAUGGCACUUUUUUAAAUCCAUAUCCACCUUGUGUCCAAUGUCAGGGUUGAUUUUUCUCUCGAGAGGAUCAACCCCAAACAUCAACUAUAUCUCAACUCUUUGUCUGAAAAAUAUUAUGAAUAAAACAAUUCAAAAUACAACUUUCAACAACGGAUCUCUUGGCUCUC
RNAcentral lists this unclassified non-coding RNA (213 nucleotides) under plant metagenome. RNAcentral's name for it is "partial contains small subunit ribosomal RNA, internal transcribed spacer 1, and 5.8S ribosomal RNA". The record is from RNAcentral.